This 355-nucleotide ribosomal RNA is filed under the name Escherichia coli. RNAcentral describes it as "partial 23S ribosomal RNA". It matches the Rfam family "Bacterial large subunit ribosomal RNA", at positions 1 to 392 of the family's 2925-position model. The record is from RNAcentral. Lineage: Bacteria; Pseudomonadati; Pseudomonadota; Gammaproteobacteria; Enterobacterales; Enterobacteriaceae.
GGUUAAGCGACUAAGCGUACACGGUGGAUGCCAUGGCAGUCAGAGGCGAUGAAGGACGUGCUAAUCUGCGAUAAGCGUCGGUAAGGUGAUAUGAACCGUUAUAACCGGCGAUUUCCGAAUGGGGAAACCCAGUGUGAUUCGUCACACUAUCAUUAACUGAAUCCAUAGGUUAAUGAGGCGAACCGGGGGAACUGAAACAUCUAAGUACCCCGAGGAAAAGAAAUCAACCGAGAUUCCCCCAGUAGCGGCGAGCGAACGGGGAGCAGCCCAGAGCCUGAAUCAGUGUGUGUGUUAGUGGAAGCGUCUGGAAAGGCGCGCGAUACAGGGUGACAGCCCCGUACACAAAAAUGCACAU